CAAAGAAUAGUUUAUUAAGAAUAUUAAUUUUGGAGAUUAAAGGAAUAAAAUUAUUUGUUUUUUUGA
This 66-nucleotide transfer RNA is filed under the name Wasmannia auropunctata (little fire ant). RNAcentral's name for it is "tRNA-Pro". The record is from RNAcentral. Lineage: Eukaryota; Metazoa; Arthropoda; Insecta; Hymenoptera; Formicidae.